GCUUUUUGCUCUACAGUUGUGUGAGAUCGACCUUAAACUUUCUCCGACCCUAUUCGGGAUGCCCUAGCACGGCUCAGGUGUUGGUGGCUGUCAAGGACCCGGGUUCCAACAAUCUGGAAAAGUAGGAACCCAGUGCCCGGCUCCCUAGCUUUACUGCUCUUAAAUAUAUAAAUUCCCGGGAAGUUUCGGAUACCUCACUACGACAUUCCCCAGCUGACCUUUGGGAACUUUUAACUUGGGUCGUCCUGUACAGAACGGUAGUCUACGGGGCGCUCAAAAUGGAAAAGGGUUUCCACAUCAGUCGCGUUCGAGAACGCUCUCCAACUUUUGAUGUCCCGUUUGCUCUUAGCUUUCCCCGUGGAGAGUUACAGAAAGGAUUUCUUCCGACAGACAUGACCCCAGAAGGCGGCCGAGGGAAACUUUAGGACAAGAGGAGUUGUUUUUGUGAUAAUGCAUUUUUAAACCCCACCCCCCCACACACAAGUUUCAGCGUGGCCGCAUUUUGAAAAGGCUGAAGGUAGAAAACUCUGGAAUGGAGAGGCUGGCGACUGGAGCAGGAUCCAGGGGCUUUAAAUUUUAACCUGAGUGCGAUCGAAUGUGCGACUUCCAGAUGAGAUAGCCAGGCGUCCGCCCAGCCACUCAACCCCCGCCAGGACUCGGAAUGCCUUGCUUUUGGUUCUUUUCUACAAGGAUGUCUGCAUGGAUAUCCCUGGACACUGAUACCCCUGGGGACCUGCUUUUGCCGCAGCUCCGCAGACGCAGCGGGAGGGCUCGCUGGCCCGGGCGCUGCUGGGACAGAGGUGAGCGGCGAGAUGGACAUUGA
Molecule: long non-coding RNA, 823 nt
Filed under: Aotus nancymaae (Ma's night monkey)
Lineage: Eukaryota; Metazoa; Chordata; Mammalia; Primates; Aotidae
Description: lncRNA (ENSANAG00000038634.1)
Source: RNAcentral